GCCUUCUAAAGCGAUCCCUAUUUACAAUG
This 29-nucleotide non-coding RNA is filed under the name Cricetulus griseus (Chinese hamster). The record is from RNAcentral. Lineage: Eukaryota; Metazoa; Chordata; Mammalia; Rodentia; Cricetidae.